RNAcentral lists this ribosomal RNA (491 nucleotides) under uncultured bacterium. Its description in RNAcentral is "partial 16S ribosomal RNA". It matches the Rfam family "Bacterial small subunit ribosomal RNA", at positions 29 to 506 of the family's 1533-position model. The record is from RNAcentral.
AGUGAACGCUGGCGGUAGGCCUAACACAUGCAAGUCGAACGGCAGCACAGUAAGAGCUUGCUCUUACGGGUGGCGAGUGGCGGACGGGUGAGGAAUACAUCGGAAUCUACUUUUUCGUGGGGGAUAACGUAGGGAAACUUACGCUAAUACCGCAUACGACCUACGGGUGAAAGCAGGGGAUCUUCGGACCUUGCGCGAUUGAAUGCGCCGAUGUCGGAUUAGCUAGUUGGCGGGGUAAAGGCCCACCAGGGCGCCGAUCCGUAGCUGGUCUGAGAGGAUGAUCAGCCACUCUGGAACUGAGACACGGCACAGACUCCGACGUGAGGCAGCAGUGGGGAAUGUUGGACAAUGGGCGCAAGCCUGAUCCAGCCAUACCGCGUGGGUGAAGAAGGCCUUCGGGUGGUAAAGCCCUUUUGUGGUGAAAGAAAAGCAGCAGGUUAAUACCCCGCUGUUCGGACGGUACCCAAAGAAUAAGCACCGGCUAACUUCGG